RNAcentral lists this ribosomal RNA (269 nucleotides) under uncultured prokaryote. RNAcentral's name for it is "partial 16S ribosomal RNA". It matches the Rfam family "Bacterial small subunit ribosomal RNA", at positions 524 to 792 of the family's 1533-position model. The record is from RNAcentral.
UACGUAGGGUGCGAGCGUUAUCCGGAAUUAUUGGGCGUAAAGAGCUCGUAGGCGGUUUGUCGCGUCUGCUGUGAAAGCCCAGGGCUUAACCCUGGGUUUGCAGUGGGUACGGGCAGGCUGGAGUGCAGUAGGGGAGACUGGAAUUCCUGGUGUAGCGGUGAAAUGCGUAGAGAUAUGGAGGAACACCAGUGGCGAAGGCGGCUUCCUGGUCUGUAACUGACACUGAGGCGCGAAAGCGUGGGGAGCAAACAGGAUUAGAUACCCUGGUA